GAAUUCGCCCUUAGAGUUUGAUCCUGGCUCAGGACGAACGCUGGCGGCGCGCCUAACACAUGCAAGUCGAACGAGCGAGAGAGAGCUUGCUUUCUCGAGCGAGUGGCGAACGGGUGAGUAACGCGUGAGGAACCUGCCUCAAAGAGGGGGACAACAGUUGGAAACGACUGCUAAUACCGCAUAAGUCCACAGCUCGGCAUCGAGCAGAGGGGAAAGGAGCAAUCCGCUUUGAGAUGGCCUCGCGUCCGAUUAGCUAGUUGGUGAGGUAACGGCCCACCAAGGCGACGAUCGGUAGCCGGACUGAGAGGUUGAACGGCCACAUUGGGACUGAGACACGGCCCAGACUCCUACGGGAGGCAGCAGUGGGGAAUAUUGCACAAUGGGGGAAACCCUGAUGCAGCGACGCCGCGUGGAGGAAGAAGGUCUUCGGAUUGUAAACUCCUGUUGUUGGGGAAGAUAAUGACGGUACCCAACAAGGAAGUGACGGCUAACUACGUGCCAGCAGCCGCGGUAAAACGUAGGUCACAAGCGUUGUCCGGAAUUACUGGGUGUAAAGGGAGCGCAGGCGGGAAGACAAGUUGGAAGUGAAAUCUAUGGGCUCAACCCAUAAACUGCUUUCAAAACUGUUUUUCUUGAGUAGUGCAGAGGUAGGCGGAAUUCCCGGUGUAGCGGUGGAAUGCGUAGAUAUCGGGAGGAACACCAGUGGCGAAGGCGGCCUACUGGGCACCAACUGACGCUGAGGCUCGAAAGUGUGGGUAGCAAACAGGAUUAGAUACCCUGGUAGUCCACACCGUAAACGAUGAUUACUAGGUGUUGGAGGAUUGACCCCUUCAGUGCCGCAGUUAACACAAUAAGUAAUCCACCUGGGGAGUACGACCGCAAGGUUGAAACUCAAAGGAAUUGACGGGGGCCCGCACAAGCAGUGGAGUAUGUGGUUUAAUUCGACGCAACGCGAAGAACCUUACCAAGUCUUGACAUCCCUUGACAGGCAUAGAAAUAUGUUUUCUCUUCGGAGCAAGGAGACAGGUGGUGCAUGGUUGUCGUCAGCUCGUGUCGUGAGAUGUUGGGUUAAGUCCCGCAACGAGCGCAACCCUUAUGGUCAGUUACUACGCAAGAGGACUCUGGCCAGACUGCCGUUGACAAAACGGAGGAAGGUGGGGAUGACGUCAAAUCAUCAUGCCCUUUAUGACUUGGGCUACACACGUACUACAAUGGCGUUAAACAAAGAGAAGCAAGACCGCGAGGUGGAGCAAAACUCAGAAACAACGUCCCAGUUCGGACUGCAGGCUGCAACUCGCCUGCACGAAGUCGGAAUUGCUAGUAAUCGUGGAUCAGCAUGCCACGGUGAAUACGUUCCCGGGCCUUGCACUCACCGCCCGUCA
This 1382-nucleotide ribosomal RNA is filed under the name uncultured bacterium. RNAcentral's name for it is "bacterial SSU rRNA". It matches the Rfam family "Bacterial small subunit ribosomal RNA". The record is from RNAcentral.